Molecule: non-coding RNA, 785 nt
Filed under: Hypoderma lineatum (early cattle grub)
Lineage: Eukaryota; Metazoa; Arthropoda; Insecta; Diptera; Oestridae
Source: RNAcentral
GUAAAGUUUUAUUUUGGCUUAUAAAUUUAUUGUUAGUUUAAUUUAUAUGUAAGUUUUUGCAUGAAUUUAUUUUUAUUUUAAAAAUAAUUAUAGUUUAUUUAUUCGCAGUAAUUGAUAUUAUUAAUUAAAGAAAUUUAGAAAUAGUAAUAUUAAAGAGUAUUGAUUAAAUUUGUGCCAGCAAUCGCGGUUAUACGAAUAAUGCAAAUAAAUUUUAUUAGUUAAAGUUAAAUUGUUGUUGUUAUUAAAUAUUAUUGAAUUUAUUAAGUGAAAUUUUAAAUUUAUUAAUUUUAUAAAAAAAUAUAUUGAAGCUUAAAAAUUUUUUUGAUAAACUAGGAUUAGAUACCCUAUUAUUAAAAAUGUAAGUUUGUAGACUAAGGUAGUAUUAGUUAUGAUCUUGAAACUUAAAAAAUUUGGCGGUAUUUUAGUCUAUUCAGAGGAACCUGUUCUGUAAUCGAUAAUCCACGAUGGACCUUACUUAAAUUUGUAAUCAGUUUAUAUACCGUUGUUGUUAAAAUAUUUUAUAAGAAUGAUAAUUUUUGUAAUUUUUUAUUAAAAAAUAUAUCAGAUCAAGGUGUAGCUUAUGUUUAAGUAGAAAUGGGUUACAAUAAAUUUAUUUAUAUGGAUAUAAAUUUGAAAUGUUUAUUGAAGGUGGAUUUGAAAGUAAAAUUAUAGAGAUUAAUAAUUUGAUUUUAGCUCUAAAAUAUGUACACAUCGCCCGUCACUCUUAUUAUUAAAAUAAGAUAAGUCGUAACAUAGUAGAUGUACUGGAAAGUGUAUCUAGAAUG